ACUCACUCCUCCUCCGCCUCCAGCGCCACCUCGUAUCUCCUCAUUCCCGACAUGUCCUGGGCUCCGAACGUCUCCUGGGGAGCGGCAUGAUUGAAUCAGGGAUUCCCUAGCCCCAGGUCCCCUUCUCCGUCAUUCUCAGGACGAGGCUGCCCAGUUCUCAGAAAAAUGUGAAAAGAGAGACUGGCCUAGCCUCCCAGCCUACAUCUUUCUCCCAUCCUGGAUGUUUCCUGCCCUUGAAUGUUGGACUCCAAGUUCUUCAGUUUUGGAACUCGGACUGUCUCUCCUUGCUCCUCAGCCUGCAGACGGCCUAUUGUGGGACCUUGUGAUCGUGUUGUUGUGGUGGUAUUACUACUACUCAGCAAGAUUCUGGUUUUACUUCUCAUCUUGGGAGUUACCAUCAAGACGUUAGGUAUGGCUGUGUGACCCACUUUGGCCAAUGAAAUGUGAACAGAAAUGGCAUAUGUCACUUGUGGACAAAAACAUUUAAGCAAGAAUUUCCCUUGCUGUCUUCCUUGACUGGAGCGACCAUGGAAGCCUGUGUUGAGAUGAAGAGGCUGCCAACAGAUCAAAACACUUGAAAACUUGAGCAGCCACAUGGACUACAACUGUGCUGGAGACUUGCCUGGACCCACAGCAGGCUUGGUAUGCAUGGGGAAUAGAAUUUUGUUGUAUUACACUCCUCAGAUUUGGAUGUCAUUUGUUAUUACAGCAUUACCUAGCCUA
RNAcentral lists this long non-coding RNA (723 nucleotides) under Homo sapiens (human). RNAcentral describes it as "HSALNT0351758". Lineage: Eukaryota; Metazoa; Chordata; Mammalia; Primates; Hominidae. The record is from RNAcentral.